GCGUCGGUUAGUGCAACGGUUCGAGCACGCAUCCCCGGAUAGGGUGAAAUGUUGGUUCGAGUCCCACUUGAUGCA
Non-coding RNA from Parelaphostrongylus tenuis, 75 nucleotides. Lineage: Eukaryota; Metazoa; Nematoda; Chromadorea; Rhabditida; Metastrongylidae. The record is from the annotation of a GenBank genome assembly.